CAUGCAAGUCGUACGAGAGUUUUUAACUCUAGUGGCGGACGGGUGAGUAACACGUGAGAAUUUGCCUUUAGGAGGGGGAUAACAAUUGGAAACGAAUGCUAAUACCCCAUAUGCUUUCGAGUGAAAUGGAUUUAUGUUUAUCCGCCUAGAGAGAAGCUCGCGGCUGAUUAGCUUGUUGGUAAGGUAAGAGCUUACCAAGGCGACGAUCAGUAUCUGGUUUGAGAGGACGAUCAGACACACUGGAACUGAGACACGGUCCAGACUCCUACGGGAGGCAGCAGUGGGGAAUUUUCCGCAAUGGGCGAAAGCCUGACGGAGCAAUACCGCGUGAGGGAAGACUGCCUAUGGGUUGUAAACCUCUUUUUUCAGGGAGGAAUCAAUGACGUGUACCUGAAGAAUAAGCAUCGGCUAACUCCGUGCCAGCAGCCGCGGUAAGACGGAGGAUGCAAGUGUUAUCCGGAAUCACUGGGCGUAAAGCGUCUGUAGGUGGUUUAAUAAGUCAACUGUUAAAUCUUGAGGCUCAACUUCAAAAUCGCAGUCGAAACUAUUAGACUAGAGUAUAGUAGAGGUAAAGGGAAUUUCCAGUGGAGCGGUGAAAUGCGUAGAUAUUGGAAAGAACACCGAUGGCGAAAGCACUUUACUGGGCUAUUACUAACA
Molecule: ribosomal RNA, 657 nt
Filed under: uncultured bacterium
Lineage: Bacteria
Description: bacterial SSU rRNA
Rfam family: Bacterial small subunit ribosomal RNA
Source: RNAcentral